Long non-coding RNA from Lonchura striata (white-rumped munia), 185 nucleotides. RefSeq lists it as uncharacterized. The record is from RefSeq and is a predicted model, not a curated record. Lineage: Eukaryota; Metazoa; Chordata; Aves; Passeriformes; Estrildidae.
UAAAGGCGCAGCGCCGCCCUUGUGGGCGCCGCGGGGUGAGCUGGUGAGCGAGCUCUCUGCAGACAAAUACUCCAAGUGAAUGAGAAAGCAUGGAUGUUUUCCUGUUCUGCGUUGCCAAUUUUAGCAACAAUGCCAUUCCUUCUUUCAGCUGCACCUCAGCACAACCACCUCCUCUACAGCACCAG